GGCCCCAUUGGUUUUGAUUCCGAAUUGAAAUCACAUUGUGGAAAAGUCAGUUGUACUAGGCCUUCUUCCUAUGACAUUUGGAAAGUGGAUCACAACAUUUAUAAUUACUAUGAUGACUGCCUAUGCAAUCCUCCAAAUUUGAACGUAAAUUAAACUAAACUCACAGUAAAAACAUAUAAAUUUUGGAUUAUGAGGGGACCCAAAACUCGAUUCCAAAUCGGAACCGACUCAGAUUUUCCAUUAAGUGUCGUGUGCACAUUUGCAAUAUGGUGGACCAUUGUGCUUUCCAUUAUUAAAAAGGAAACAGAGUUUAAUAUAAAUAAUUAACUCAAGACAAAGCAAUCUUAUUGUUCUUACCAAGUGAAACUAAAUGGAAGCUUUUGUUUUUGUUUUUGCAAUAAAGGCCAG
This 408-nucleotide long non-coding RNA is filed under the name Vigna radiata. Its description in RNAcentral is "long non-coding RNA (VRAD_LNC015612)". The record is from RNAcentral. Lineage: Eukaryota; Viridiplantae; Streptophyta; Magnoliopsida; Fabales; Fabaceae.